RNAcentral lists this ribosomal RNA (497 nucleotides) under uncultured bacterium. RNAcentral describes it as "partial 16S ribosomal RNA". It matches the Rfam family "Bacterial small subunit ribosomal RNA", at positions 28 to 507 of the family's 1533-position model. The record is from RNAcentral.
GAUGAACGCUGGCGGCGUGCCUAAUACAUGCAAGUCGAGCGAACGGACGAGAAGCUUGCUUCUCUGAUGUUAGCGGCGGACGGGUGAGUAACACGUGGAUAACCUACCUAUAAGACUGGGAUAACUUCGGGAAACCGUAGCUAAUACCGGAUAAUAUUUUGAACCGCAUGGUUCAAAAGUGAAAGACGGUCUUGCUGUCACUUUUAGAUGGAUCCGCGCUGCAUUAGCUAGUUGGUAAGGUAACGGCUUACCAAGGCAACGAUGCAUAGCCGACCUGAGAGGGUGAUCGGCCACACUGGAACUGAGACACGGUCCAGACUCCUACGGGAGGCAGCAGUAGGGAAUCUUCCGCAAUGGGCGAAAGCCUGACGGAGCAACGCCGCGUGAGUGAUGAAGGUCUUCGGAUCGUAAAACUCUGUUAUUAGGGAAGAACAUAUGUGUAAGUAACUGUGCACAUCUUGACGGUACCUAAUCAGAAAGCCACGGCUAACUACGUG